RNAcentral lists this ribosomal RNA (827 nucleotides) under uncultured bacterium. RNAcentral describes it as "bacterial SSU rRNA". It matches the Rfam family "Bacterial small subunit ribosomal RNA", at positions 8 to 805 of the family's 1533-position model. The record is from RNAcentral.
AGAGUUUGAUCCUGGCUCAGGACGAACGCUGGCGGCGUGCUUAACACAUGCAAGUCGAACGAAGAGUGAUGGAAGCUUGCUUCUAUCAAUCUUAGUGGCGAACGGGUGAGUAACGCGUAAUCAACCUGCCCUUCAGAGGGGGACAACAGUUGGAAACGACUGCUAAUACCGCAUACGAUCUGACCUCGGCAUCGAGGAUAGAUGAAAGGUGGCCUCUAUUUAUAAGCUAUCACUGAAGGAGGGGAUUGCGUCUGAUUAGCUAGUUGGAGGGGUAACGGCCCACCAAGGCGAUGAUCAGUAGCCGGUCUGAGAGGAUGAACGGCCACAUUGGGACUGAGACACGGCCCAGACUCCUACGGGAGGCAGCAGUGGGGAAUCUUCCGCAAUGGACGAAAGUCUGACGGAGCAACGCCGCGUGAGUGAUGACGGCCUUCGGGUUGUAAAGCUCUGUUAAUCGGGACGAAAGGCCUUCUUGCGAAUAGUUAGAAGGAUUGACGGUACCGGAAUAGAAAGCCACGGCUAACUACGUGCCAGCAGCCGCGGUAAUACGUAGGUGGCAAGCGUUGUCCGGAAUUAUUGGGCGUAAAGCGCGCGCAGGCGGAUUGGUCAGUCUGUCUUAAAAGUUCAGGGCUUAACCCCGUGAUGGGAUGGAAACUGCCAAUCUAGAGUAUCGGAGAGGAAAGUGGAAUUCCUAGUGUAGCGGUGAAAUGCGUAGAUAUUAGGAAGAACACCAGUGGCGAAGGCGACUUUCUGGACGAAAACUGACGCUGAGGCGCGAAAGCCAGGGGAGCGAACGGGAUUAGAUACCCCGGUAGUCCUGGCCGUAA